GCCGGCAGAAAUGUCCGGCUCCCACCGCGAUGUGGAGCAACAACAGUGAGCGAAAUUCCUUGUCGGGUAAGUUCCGACCUGCACGAAUGGCGUAACGAUCUGGGCACUGUCUCAACUACCCACCCGGCGAAAUUGUAGUACCGGUGAAGAUGCCGGUUACCUGCGGCAAGACGGAAAGACCCCAUGGAGCUUUACUGCAGCUUGAUAUUGGGUUUUGGUAUUUUAUGUACAGGAUAGGCGGGAGGCAGCGAAACGGAGACGCCAGUUUCCGCGGAGUCAACCUUGGGAUACCGCUCUUAGAGUGCUGAAAUUCUAACCUGCGGCCGUUAUCCGGUCGGGGGACAUUGUCAGGUGGGCAGUUUGACUGGGGCGGUCGCCUCCAAAAGAGUAACGGAGGCGCUCAAAGGUUCGCUCAGCAUGGACGGAAACCAUGCCCUUGAGUGCAAACGCAUAAGCGAGCCUGACUGCGAGGCUGACGGGCCGAGCAGGAACGAAAGUUGGAGUUAGUGAUCCGGCGGUAUGUGAGUGGAAAUGCCGUCGCUCAACGGAUAAAAGCUACCCUGGGGAUAACAGGCUUAUCUCCCCCAAGAGUCCACAUCGACGGGGAGGUUUGGCACCUCGAUGUCGGCUCAUCACAUCCUGGGGCUGAAUUCAGUCCCAAGGGUUCGGCUGUUCGCCGAUUAAAGUGGCACGCGAGCUGGGUUCAGAACGUCGUGAGACAGUUCGGUCCCUAUCUAUUGCGGGCGUUGGAGAUUUGAAGGGAGCUGUCCUUAGUACGAGAGGACCGGGAUGGACGUACCUCUGGCGCACCGGUUGUCCUGCCAAGGGCAUAGCCGGGUAACUAUGUACGGACGAGAUAAACGCUGAAGGCAUCUAAGCGUGAAACUCUCCCUGAGAUUAUAUCUCCCACCCCUUGAGGGUGUAAGGCACCGGAAAGACUAUCCGGUUGAUAGGCCGGAGGUGUACGCACGGUAACGUGUUUAGCCGACCGGUACUAAUCUGCCGAGGGCUUGACUAA
RNAcentral lists this ribosomal RNA (1018 nucleotides) under Oscillospiraceae bacterium. Its description in RNAcentral is "partial 23S ribosomal RNA". It matches the Rfam family "Bacterial large subunit ribosomal RNA", at positions 1932 to 2925 of the family's 2925-position model. The record is from RNAcentral. Lineage: Bacteria; Bacillati; Bacillota; Clostridia; Eubacteriales; Oscillospiraceae.